This 406-nucleotide ribosomal RNA is filed under the name Pseudomonas sp. Its description in RNAcentral is "partial 16S ribosomal RNA". It matches the Rfam family "Bacterial small subunit ribosomal RNA", at positions 356 to 774 of the family's 1533-position model. The record is from RNAcentral. RNAcentral also lists the same sequence under 2 other names. Lineage: Bacteria; Pseudomonadati; Pseudomonadota; Gammaproteobacteria; Pseudomonadales; Pseudomonadaceae.
GGGGAAUAUUGCACAAUGGGCGGAAGCCUGAUGCAGCAACGCCGCGUGCGGGAUGACGGCCUUCGGGUUGUAAACCGCUUUCGCCUGUGACGAAGCGUGAGUGACGGUAAUGGGUAAAGAAGCACCGGCUAACUACGUGCCAGCAGCCGCGGUGAUACGUAGGGUGCGAGCGUUGUCCGGAUUUAUUGGGCGUAAAGGGCUCGUAGGUGGUUGAUCGCGUCGGAAGUGUAAUCUUGGGGCUUAACCCUGAGCGUGCUUUCGAUACGGGUUGACUUGAGGAAGGUAGGGGAGAAUGGAAUUCCUGGUGGAGCGGUGGAAUGCGCAGAUAUCAGGAGGAACACCAGUGGCGAAGGCGGUUCUCUGGGCCUUUCCUGACGCUGAGGAGCGAAAGCGUGGGGAGCGAACA